GGACCCCACUGCUAUCGGGAUGGGACUAAGACAUGCUAGUCGAGCGUCUCCAAGCUAUGGAAGAGACGCGGCAGACAGCUCAGUAACACGUGGCUAACCUGCCCUUGGGACAAGGACAACUCCGGGAAACUGGGGCUAAUCCCUGAUAGGUGAGAACUCCUGGAAUGGAUUCUCGCUGAAAGGACGUUUAGACCAUGCUUCUAGGCGUCGCCCAAGGAGGGGGCCGCGACCGAUCAGGUUGUUGGUGAGGUAACGGCUCACCAAGCCUUUAACCGGUACGGGCCGUGAGAGCGGAAGCCCGGAGAUGGGCACUGAGACAAGGGCCCAGGCCCUACGGGGCGCAGCAGUCGCGAAAACUCCGCAAUACACGAAAGUGUGACGGGGCUAUCCCGAGUGCCAUCCGCUGAGGAUGGCUUUUCCAUGGUGUAAGGAGCCGUGGGAAUAAGGAGAGGGCAAGACUGGUGUCAGCCGCCGCGGUAAUACCAGCUCUCCGAGUGGUGGGGACGAUUAUUGGGCUUAAAGCGUUCGUAGCCGGCUUAGCAAGUCUCCUGUUAAAUUCAGCGACCUAAUCGUUGAGCCGCGGGGGAUACUACUAAGCUAGGAGGCGGAAGAGGUCAACGGUAUUCUCGGGGUAGGGGUGAAAUCUUAUAAUCCUUGUAGGACCACCAGUGGCGAAGGCGUCAGACUGGAACGCGCCUGACGGUGAGGGACGAAAGCCAGGGGAGCGAACCGGAUUAGAUACCCGGGUAGUCCUGGCCGUAAACGAUGCAUACUAGGUGAUGGCAUGGCCAUGAGCCGUGUCAGUGCCCGUANGGAAACCGUU
RNAcentral lists this ribosomal RNA (823 nucleotides) under uncultured archaeon. RNAcentral's name for it is "bacterial SSU rRNA". It matches the Rfam family "Archaeal small subunit ribosomal RNA", at positions 19 to 816 of the family's 1478-position model. The record is from RNAcentral.